ACGGGAGGCAGCAGUGGGGGAUAUUGCACAAUGGGGGAAACCCUGAUGCAGCGACGCCGCGUGAGUGAAGAAGUAUUUCGGUAUGUAAAGCUCUAUCAGCAGGGAAGAAAAUGACGGUACCUGACUAAGAAGCUCCGGCUAAAUACGUGCCAGCAGCCGCGGUAAUACGUAGGGGGCAAGCGUUAUCCGGAUUUACUGGGUGUAAAGGGUGCGUAGACGGCUGUGCAAGUCAGAAGUGAAAUCCCGGGGCUUAACCCCGGUGCUGCUUUUGAAACUGUACGGCUAGAGUGCUGGAGGGGCAAGCGGAAUUCCUGGUGUAGCGGUGAAAUGCGUAGAUAUUAGGAAGAACACCAGUGGCGAAGGCGAUCUACUGGACGAUAACUGACGCUGAGGCGCGAAAGCGUGGGGAGCAAACAGGAUUAGAUACCCUGGUA
Molecule: ribosomal RNA, 434 nt
Filed under: uncultured Anaerostipes sp.
Lineage: Bacteria; Bacillati; Bacillota; Clostridia; Lachnospirales; Lachnospiraceae
Description: partial 16S ribosomal RNA
Rfam family: Bacterial small subunit ribosomal RNA
Source: RNAcentral